This 2900-nucleotide ribosomal RNA is filed under the name Klebsiella pneumoniae CHS 11. RNAcentral's name for it is "bacterial LSU rRNA". It matches the Rfam family "Bacterial large subunit ribosomal RNA". Lineage: Bacteria; Pseudomonadati; Pseudomonadota; Gammaproteobacteria; Enterobacterales; Enterobacteriaceae. The record is from RNAcentral.
UUAAGCGACUAAGCGUACACGGUGGAUGCCCUGGCAGUCAGAGGCGAUGAAGGACGUGCUAAUCUGCGAAAAGCGUCGGUAAGGUGAUAUGAACCGUUAUAACCGGCGAUGUCCGAAUGGGGAAACCCAGUGCAAUUCGUUGCACUAUCGUUAACUGAAUACAUAGGUUAACGAGGCGAACCGGGGGAACUGAAACAUCUAAGUACCCCGAGGAAAAGAAAUCAACCGAGAUUCCCCCAGUAGCGGCGAGCGAACGGGGAGCAGCCCAGAGUCUGAAUCAGCUUGUGUGUUAGUGGAACGGUCUGGAAAGUCCGACGGUACAGGGUGAUAGUCCCGUACACCAAAAUGCACAGGCUGUGAACUCGAAGAGUAGGGCGGGACACGUGGUAUCCUGUCUGAAUAUGGGGGGACCAUCCUCCAAGGCUAAAUACUCCUGACUGACCGAUAGUGAACCAGUACCGUGAGGGAAAGGCGAAAAGAACCCCGGCGAGGGGAGUGAAAAAGAACCUGAAACCGUGUACGUACAAGCAGUGGGAGCACCUUCGGGUGUGACUGCGUACCUUUUGUAUAAUGGGUCAGCGACUUAUAUUCUGUAGCAAGGUUAACCGUAUAGGGGAGCCGCAGGGAAACCGAGUCUUAACUGGGCGUUAAGUUGCAGGGUAUAGACCCGAAACCCGGUGAUCUAGCCAUGGGCAGGUUGAAGGUUGGGUAACACUAACUGGAGGACCGAACCGACUAAUGUUGAAAAAUUAGCGGAUGACUUGUGGCUGGGGGUGAAAGGCCAAUCAAACCGGGAGAUAGCUGGUUCUCCCCGAAAGCUAUUUAGGUAGCGCCUCGUGAACUCAUCUUCGGGGGUAGAGCACUGUUUCGGCUAGGGGGUCAUCCCGACUUACCAACCCGAUGCAAACUACGAAUACCGAAGAAUGUUAUCACGGGAGACACACGGCGGGUGCUAACGUCCGUCGUGAAGAGGGAAACAACCCAGACCGCCAGCUAAGGUCCCAAAGUCAUGGUUAAGUGGGAAACGAUGUGGGAAGGCACAGACAGCCAGGAUGUUGGCUUAGAAGCAGCCAUCAUUUAAAGAAAGCGUAAUAGCUCACUGGUCGAGUCGGCCUGCGCGGAAGAUGUAACGGGGCUAAACCAUGCACCGAAGCUGCGGCAGCGACACUAUGUGUUGUUGGGUAGGGGAGCGUUCUGUAAGCCUGCGAAGUUGUGCUGUGAGGCAUGCUGGAGGUAUCAGAAGUGCGAAUGCUGACAUAAGUAACGAUAAAGCGGGUGAAAAGCCCGCUCGCCGGAAGACCAAGGGUUCCUGUCCAACGUUAAUCGGGGCAGGGUGAGUCGACCCCUAAGGCGAGGCCGAAAGGCGUAGUCGAUGGGAAACAGGUUAAUAUUCCUGUACUUGGUGUUACUGCGAAGGGGGGACGGAGAAGGCUAUGUUAGCCGGGCGACGGUUGUCCCGGUUUAAGCAUGUAGGCUGAUUGUCCAGGCAAAUCCGGAUAAUCAAGGCUGAGGUGUGAUGACGAGGCACUACGGUGCUGAAGUAACAAAUGCCCUGCUUCCAGGAAAAGCCUCUAAGCAUCAGGUAACAUUAAAUCGUACCCCAAACCGACACAGGUGGUCAGGUAGAGAAUACCAAGGCGCUUGAGAGAACUCGGGUGAAGGAACUAGGCAAAAUGGUGCCGUAACUUCGGGAGAAGGCACGCUGGUGUGUAGGUGAAGUCCCUGCGGAUGGAGCUGAGACCAGUCGAAGAUACCAGCUGGCUGCAACUGUUUAUUAAAAACACAGCACUGUGCAAACACGAAAGUGGACGUAUACGGUGUGACGCCUGCCCGGUGCCGGAAGGUUAAUUGAUGGGGUUAUCCGUAAGGAGAAGCUCUUGAUCGAAGCCCCGGUAAACGGCGGCCGUAACUAUAACGGUCCUAAGGUAGCGAAAUUCCUUGUCGGGUAAGUUCCGACCUGCACGAAUGGCGUAAUGAUGGCCAGGCUGUCUCCACCCGAGACUCAGUGAAAUUGAACUCGCUGUGAAGAUGCAGUGUACCCGCGGCAAGACGGAAAGACCCCGUGAACCUUUACUAUAGCUUGACACUGAACAUUGAGCCUUGAUGUGUAGGAUAGGUGGGAGGCUUUGAAGCGUGGACGCCAGUCUGCGUGGAGCCAACCUUGAAAUACCACCCUUUAAUGUUUGAUGUUCUAACGUUGGCCCCUGACCGGGGUUGCGGACAGUGUCUGGUGGGUAGUUUGACUGGGGCGGUCUCCUCCCAAAGCGUAACGGAGGAGCACGAAGGUUAGCUAAUCCUGGUCGGACAUCAGGAGGUUAGUGCAAUGGCAUAAGCUAGCUUGACUGCGAGCGUGACGGCGCGAGCAGGUGCGAAAGCAGGUCAUAGUGAUCCGGUGGUUCUGAAUGGAAGGGCCAUCGCUCAACGGAUAAAAGGUACUCCGGGGAUAACAGGCUGAUACCGCCCAAGAGUUCAUAUCGACGGCGGUGUUUGGCACCUCGAUGUCGGCUCAUCACAUCCUGGGGCUGAAGUAGGUCCCAAGGGUAUGGCUGUUCGCCAUUUAAAGUGGUACGCGAGCUGGGUUUAGAACGUCGUGAGACAGUUCGGUCCCUAUCUGCCGUGGGCGCUGGAGAAUUGAGGGGGGCUGCUCCUAGUACGAGAGGACCGGAGUGGACGCAUCACUGGUGUUCGGGUUGUCAUGCCAAUGGCACUGCCCGGUAGCUAAAUGCGGAAGAGAUAAGUGCUGAAAGCAUCUAAGCACGAAACUUGCCCCGAGAUGAGUUCUCCCUGAGACUUUAAGUCUCCUGAAGGAACGUUAAAGACGAUGACGUUGAUAGGCCGGGUGUGUAAGCGCAGCGAUGCGUUGAGCUAACCGGUACUAAUGAACCGUGAGGCUUAACCUU